This 1287-nucleotide ribosomal RNA is filed under the name Rhabdophis subminiatus (Red-necked keelback). RNAcentral's name for it is "partial 16S ribosomal RNA". It matches the Rfam family "Bacterial large subunit ribosomal RNA", at positions 431 to 2606 of the family's 2925-position model. Lineage: Eukaryota; Metazoa; Chordata; Lepidosauria; Squamata; Natricidae. The record is from RNAcentral.
AGCUGGACCGACAACACACAAAAAUCUUAUAUACACCAAACAAACCAUUUUACUAACCAAGUAGAUGUGAUCGAACAGUAAACACCACACCACCAGUACCGUAAGGGAAACACUUCAAGCAAAAAAUAGCAAAGAUUCACCCUUGUACCUUUUGUAUCAUGGUUUAGCAAGCAACCUAGACAAGAAGAAUCAUUAGCCCAUACCCCGAAACCAGAUGAGCUACUUUAAAGCAGCAAAAUAGAGCACACCCUUCUCUGUGGCAAAAGAGUGGGAAGACUUCAAAGUAGCGGUGAAACGCCAAUCGAAUCUGGAGAUAGCUGGCUACCUAAAACAGAAUCUAAGUUCAACUUUAGACCAAAAUAUAAACCCUAAUUCCCUAAAGAAAAUCAAUAGGGGUACAGCUCUAUUGAAGCAGGAAACAACCUGAAUUUGAGAGGACAGCCGCUAAACCCACCAGUAGGACUUAAAGCAACCACCUGAUAAAAUAUCGUUAAAGAAUUAAGACAAAAAUAAUAUAACUUAACACAACCUCCAAAUAAACUAAAGGUAAACCUAUAACUAUGGGUAAUACAAUGCUAAAACUAAUAAUAAGAUACUCUCUCUACACGCACCAAUUCACUAGAAACGGAAAAACCACUAGCUAUUAACAGACCACAAUAGGACUUCCCUACACCCUUCUCAACACCCCCCACUGUAUAAACCAACACAGGUUCGUAAAAAAGAAAGAUUAACCACUAUAAAAGGAACUCGGCAACCAAAAACCCCAACUGUUUAACAAAAACAUAACCUUUAGCCAAACAAAUAUUAAAGGCAAUGCCUGCCCAGUGAACAUUAAACGGCCGCGGUACCCUAACCGUGCAAAGGUAGCAUAAUCAUUUGUCUAUUAACUGUAGACCUGUAUGAAAGACAAAAUGAGGGUUUAACUGUCUCUUAUAGUAAAUCUAUUAAACUGAUCUCCUAGUAAAAAAGCUAGUAUACCCACAUAAGACCAGAAGACCCUGUGAAGCUUUAACUAAACUAUUAAAUCAAAUAAUAACUACUUUAGGUUGGGGCGACCUCGGAAAAAAAAAGAACUUCCGUAUAUUAAACUCACCAGGCCCACAAGCCAAUUUACGACCCAGUAACACUGAUAAUUGAACCAAGUUACUCCAGGGAUAACAGCGCCAUCUUCUUCAAGAGCCCAUAUCAAAAAGAAGGUUUACGACCUCGAUGUUGGAUCAGGACACCCCAAUGGUGCAACCGCUAUUAAAGGUUCGUUUGUUCAACGAUUAAUGUCCUACGUGAUCU